This 253-nucleotide ribosomal RNA is filed under the name uncultured bacterium. Its description in RNAcentral is "partial 16S ribosomal RNA". It matches the Rfam family "Bacterial small subunit ribosomal RNA", at positions 524 to 776 of the family's 1533-position model. The record is from RNAcentral.
UACGGAGGGUGCGAGCGUUGUUCGGAAUCACUGGGCUUAAAGCGCGUGUAGGCGGCAAGUUAAGUGUUGGGUGAAAGCCCUCGGCUCAACCGAGGAACGGCCUGGCAAACUGGCUUGCUUGAGGUACGUAGAGGUGACUGGAACGACGGGUGGAGCGGUGAAAUGCGUAGAUAUCCGUUGGAACGCCGGAGGCGAAAGCGGGUCACUGGGCGUAUCCUGACGCUGAGACGCGAAAGCGUGGGUAGCAAACAGG